CGUUCUCAGUUCGGAUCGGAGUCUGCAACCCGACUCCGUGAAGCUGGAUUCGCUAGUAAUCGCGCGUCAGCCAUGGCGCGGUGAAUACGUUCCCGGGCCUUGUACACACCGCCCGUCAAGCCAUGGGAGCCGGGGGUGCUUGAAGUGCGUCGCCGCAAGGCGCGCCCUAGAGCAAAACCGGUGACUGGGGCUAAGUCGUAACAAGGUAGC
This 210-nucleotide ribosomal RNA is filed under the name uncultured bacterium. RNAcentral's name for it is "partial 16S ribosomal RNA". It matches the Rfam family "Bacterial small subunit ribosomal RNA", at positions 1283 to 1500 of the family's 1533-position model. The record is from RNAcentral.